GAGAGAACGCAGAGGGAGGGAAGCAGGGAGGGAGACCAAACCCCAGCUUCACUGCGUUGAAAGCUUCUGAAUUUCAAGCAGAAAGUAGAAGGAGCCCCACAAGGCAAUGAGCGUCUUUCCUUGGGCUGCGUGUGCAAAGCGUAGACAAUGAAAAUCUCCACCCCCCUCCCCCAUCCCCGCUAGGCUACAAGAUUUUUGUUUUCGUUCCUUCUCAACGGUGGAAGCUGUACAAAAUCAAAUGUAUAGACAUGUGUAUAUAUUUUUAAACAAACAAACCGACCCAACGGGCUGAGACGCGGAUUACCCAAACGCGCACCGGCUAGGCGCGUUCUGGAGUCUCUGAGCUAGACCGGCUCUGGGCGCUCUCUCCAGCCGCAGCCAGGCUCUGCGCCGCCCGGGGACCGCAGUGGCGGAGGAUCCUCGCUUCCUCGGACGCUGGAGCCCAGCGGGCCUUUCCCUCGGGCCGACCGCGCCGUAGGGGACGCCGCGAAAAGAGCCGCUGCUCCUGCCGCCUCCUGCCCGCUGCGCAGAGGGCUCCGCCCGUAGAGGUCAACUCCCCUCACCCCUUCCUCUCUCUCCUGCUCGCCCUCCCUCCGCCCGGCCCAGCUUCCUCCAGCCUCUUGACUCUUGCCGCAGUUUGAGGAGUGCGCGUCCUCUGCGCUGCUCUGAACCGUCACCCCCAGCCGGGCCCGGACCCGAGGGCCGCGCUGGCCAGCAGUGGGGAAGCCUUAGCGAGCUGCCUUUUCUCUCUGCAGCAAAGCUGUAGUUAGACCAGAUGGGCCGCCCGGUUCUCUCGGGACUAGGCAGGUGCGGUUGAGUUAAUUUUUCUGCAUUACAAAGAAAGAUGACCUAGCCCGCCCUUGUACCCUCAUCUCUUCCCCAAAACUCCCAACCCAAACCGCGGUAACGGUAUCAGAGGACACAGAGCCUAGACAUAUCUGCGUGUUUAUCUUACAUACACACACGCAUGAUUCCUUUCUCUUUUAUGUGCUAGAUCUCAUCCCCCCGACAGCAGGAAGUGAUUGGCAGAGCUUUCUGCAGCACAACAGGCAAUGGUGCCGUCCUUAAAAGCUGCCAUUCCUUACAAGUGACUUAGAAGAGAUGCAGGGCGAACCAACCAACUCGGUUAAUUGCUUUCAGUAAAAUAACAUGAUUACGAAAUUAGAUCUGUACCAGAGGGGUAAUUAACUUCGAUCCACGCCGUCAUUUGAAAACGAGAUUUAUAGGCGUAUGUAUGUUUUUUAGGUGUGCUGUAAAUGGCAUGCAGAUAUAUGCAUAUGUAUACGCAGA
Molecule: long non-coding RNA, 1290 nt
Organism: Equus caballus (horse)
Lineage: Eukaryota; Metazoa; Chordata; Mammalia; Perissodactyla; Equidae
Source: RefSeq, a predicted model, not a curated record